GCGUUGCAGGGCCGCGGUCGCCGUCGCCGCCUCCGUCGCGGUCAGCCGGCUGAUGUUGGCGCCGUGGUUCCAGCCCGCGGCCGUGUA
This 87-nucleotide transfer RNA is filed under the name Dactylosporangium siamense. RNAcentral's name for it is "tRNA-Arg". Lineage: Bacteria; Bacillati; Actinomycetota; Actinomycetes; Micromonosporales; Micromonosporaceae. The record is from RNAcentral.